This 433-nucleotide ribosomal RNA is filed under the name uncultured bacterium. Its description in RNAcentral is "partial 16S ribosomal RNA". It matches the Rfam family "Bacterial small subunit ribosomal RNA", at positions 29 to 507 of the family's 1533-position model. The record is from RNAcentral.
AACGAACGCUGGCGGCAUGCCUAACACAUGCAAGUCGAACGAGACCUUCGGGUCUAGUGGCGCACGGGUGCGUAACGCGUGGGAACCUGCCCUUAGGUUCGGAAUAACUCCCCGAAAGGGGUGCUAAUACCGGAUAAUGUCUUCGGACCAAAGAUUUAUCGCCUUUGGAUGGGCCCGCGUUGGAUUAGCUAGUUGGUAGGGUAAAAGCCUACCAAGGCGACGAUCCAUAGCUGGUCUGAGAGGAUGAUCAGCCACACUGGGACUGAGACACGGCCCAGACUCCUACGGGAAGCAGCAGUGGGGAAUAUUGGACAAUGGGCGAAAGCCUGAUCCAGCAAUGCCGCGUGAGUGAUGAAGGCCUUAGGGUUGUAAAGCUCUUUUACCCGGGAUGAUAAUGACAGUACCGGAAGAAUAAGCUCCGGCUAACUCCGUG